AUGGCUGAGGCACAGAACACUGGGGGCGAGGGGCCCCGCGACAGUUGGCUGGAUAAACUGUUUAAACGACAUUUGGCCAAAACAACUGCUGGUGAAAGAGAGGAGGUGAUAAGAAGACAAAAAAUGUUUCGUGACAGGUACGGAGACAGAUUCUUAGGGCUAGACGAUGGCAAAAAAAGUUUACAGACACUGUUGGGGAUUGUCACUGGAAAUAAACAGGAGAGGGAUAAAUGUGACGCGGAGUUGAAGAGUGCGAGUGUGUGGGACAAGCGUAACUUAAAAGAGAGAAUGAGAGUCGCAGAUGAAAUGAAAUGCAUGGCACAACACCUACGUGAUGCUUGUCUGGCUGCACGAGCGGCUGCGGUUGAUGAGAUGGAGGAUCAAGAUCAGCAGAGUAUGAGCGCAGGGAAAGAGGAAAAGAAUAUGCUCAGCGCACCUCCGAGUCAUGGUGAAGGAGGCCAAGCAAUGUACCCGGUGUUGACAGGAGGAAAUAUAGUUGUGGCCGGAGGAGAGCUGCAGUUGGAGGCAGGUGCAGUUGGAGGCAGCAGAGCGCCAGAGGUAGAAAAGGCAAUGUCUAAACUGACAGUGGGAGAGUUAGAACAGCCGGCGACUUUGUCUUCAGUUAACCCGUUCGUACCGCGCCCGACGCAGGAGGGCGGACAGGGCGAUGGAUGGUUGGCUGUGCAGCGGAGCAUGAUAGAGGAACAAAAAAGCCAGAAGAGUGUAUCGGACGACACGAACCGUCGGAUAGUGAGAAUUGAGAACAUGUUGGUGAAGGCCCGAGACGAGGGUGGAGCUAAGGCACGGAAGAAAGGCAGGCGUAGACGUAAGGAUGAGGAAGAGAGUGAGGAUGAGGAAGAAGGCACUGGAGGCGGAGUGGAGGCAUGUGACGGGCUGACGCUCAACUGGGAGCCACCUCCACAGCAGGUGGCCCCAACACAUGUGGGGAAACCCCCACAGGGCGGGGCCACCAGUCAAUCAGAAUCUCCAGCCCCUCCCACCCAGGGAGGUGGACCUGUAACCAGGUCACGAGUGGAGGAAGCUGUGGGAGGACAGUACCCCCUGGUGGCCAGUCAAGGCGGAGCGGCACCGUGGAUAGCAGCCUUCAAGGCACUGACAAUGGGCGUGCCCUUAGCACUGGGGGAUGUCCGCAUGGUUGUAGCUGCAUGUGUUGGAUUACAAAAGCUGGCCGGGGUGGAGCAGCUGGCAGGCACCGCAGUACAGGGGGGAAACAGAGCACCAGACACUACACCAUUUGCAGACCACAUCGGCGCUUUCUGUGAUGCACUGAGAUUACACUUCCCAAUUAGCGUGGCGGCUAUCGAAGAUUUUUCCCAUCGCUUGAAGGAUGAUGGUUCUGUGAGUCCAGAGACUUGGCUACACGAGGCUCGCCAGAAAUGGGUACAGAUGACGGGGGAGCCCCCAGUUGAUAAUACUCCCGCGAUGGUGAUGCUUAAAGAUAAACUAUUGAAUAAUGUUCCACCACCAGUAAAAGAAAAACUUUUAGAUAAUCCUUUAAUGGCUAGAUCACCAUGGUCCCAGUGGUCACAGUGUCUGGUCACCCUGCUACAGAAACACUGGGAGAAAAUACACCAACAAGCACAAUCACAACAAGCAGCAGCUAACACUUUGGUACACAUUCAGCUAGAACAGGCUAAACAAACAAGCAAAAAGAACUCAGGAGGAGCUCAGGCCUCGCCAAUGGCGGCCUUGACACAUCAGGCCACACCCUCAAUUAAUCAAUGGGGACAGAACCGUGGGGGACGAUGGGGUGUGCGGAGGGGCCCACGCCCGGGUGACAGGUGUGGCAACUGCGGUAGGUUCGGACACUGGGCGAGGGACUGCAGGGCUCGGAGAGGUCCCGGAAGAGGGGUCCAAGAGACUCAAAACGGGGGCGAGCCCAGAUGGGGCCUGCCUCAAGGACGAGGAAUGUACCCGUAG
This is a long non-coding RNA of Takifugu rubripes (torafugu), 1941 nucleotides long. Lineage: Eukaryota; Metazoa; Chordata; Actinopteri; Tetraodontiformes; Tetraodontidae. The record is from Ensembl.